Molecule: ribosomal RNA, 497 nt
Filed under: uncultured bacterium
Lineage: Bacteria
Description: partial 16S ribosomal RNA
Rfam family: Bacterial small subunit ribosomal RNA
Source: RNAcentral
GAUGAACGCUGGCGGCGUGCCUAAUACAUGCAAGUCGAGCGAACGGACGAGAAGCUUGCUUUUCUGAUGUUAGCGGCGGACGGGUGAGAAACACGUGGAUAACCUACCUAUAAGACUGGGAUAACUUCGGGAAACCGGAGCUAAUACCGGAUAAUAUUUUGAACCGCAUGGUUCAAAAGUGAAAGACGGUCUUGCUGUCACUUAUAGAUGGAUCCGCGCUGCAUUAGCUAGUUGGUAAGGUAACGGCUUACCAAGGCAACGAUGCCUAGCCGACCUGAGAGGGUGAUCGGCCACACUGGAACUGAGACACGGUCCAGACUCCUACGGGAGGCAGCAGUAGGGAAUCUUCCGCAAUGGGCGAAAGCCUGACGGAGCAACGCCGCGUGAGUGAUGAAGGUCUUCGGAUCGUAAAACUCUGUUAUUAGGGAAGAACAUAUGUGUAAGUAACUGUGCACAUCUUGACGGUACCUAAUCAGAAAGCCACGGCUAACUACGUG